GAUGAACGCUGACAGAAUGCUUAACACAUGCAAGUCGACCGGAAUUUGGGUUUUUUAACUUAGAUUUGGGUGGCGGACGGGGGAGUAACGCGUAAAGAACUUGCCUCACAGCUAGGGACAGCAUUUGGAAACGAAUGCUAAUACCUGAUAUUAUGAUUAUAAGGCAUCUUAGAAUUAUGAAAGCUAUAUGCGCUGUGAGAGAGCUUUGCGUCCCAGUAGCUAGUUGGAGAGGUAACGGCUCACCAAGGCGAUGAUGGGUAGCCGGCCUGAGAGGGUGACCGGCCACAAGGGGACUGAGACACGGCCCUUACUCCUACGGGAGGCAGCAGUGGGGAAUAUUGGACAAUGGACCAAGAGUCUGAUCCAGCACUUCUGUGUGCACGAUGACGUUUUUCGGAAUGUAAAGUGCUUUCAGUUGGGAAGAAAAAAAUGACGGUACCAACAGAAGAAGUGACGGCUAACUACGUG
Molecule: ribosomal RNA, 468 nt
Filed under: uncultured bacterium
Lineage: Bacteria
Description: partial 16S ribosomal RNA
Rfam family: Bacterial small subunit ribosomal RNA
Source: RNAcentral